Regulatory RNA element from Jonesia denitrificans DSM 20603, 97 nucleotides. It matches the Rfam family "mraW RNA". Lineage: Bacteria; Bacillati; Actinomycetota; Actinomycetes; Micrococcales; Jonesiaceae. The record is from Rfam.
UUUGAUCUGCUCUAUGAGGUCUCCUACCGUCAUCUGACGCCACUUCCCCGGUGCCAGAUGGCGACGGUGGGAGCCCUGGUGGAGUAGGUAACUACCA